RNAcentral lists this ribosomal RNA (460 nucleotides) under uncultured bacterium. RNAcentral's name for it is "partial 16S ribosomal RNA". It matches the Rfam family "Bacterial small subunit ribosomal RNA", at positions 338 to 795 of the family's 1533-position model. The record is from RNAcentral.
CCUACGGGAGGCAGCAGUGAGGAAUAUUGGUCAAUGGGCGCGAGCCUGAACCAGCCAAGUCGCGUGAAGGAUGACUGCCCUACGGGUUGUAAACUUCUUUUAUCAAGGAAUAAAGUGAGGCACGUGUGCCUUUUUGUAUGUACUUUCUGAAUAAGGAUCGGCUGACUCCGUGCCAGCAGCCGCGGUAAUACGGAGGGUCCGGGCGUUAUCCGGAGAUAUUGGGGUUAAAGGGGGCGUAGAUGGGUUGUUAAGUCAGGUGUGAAAGUUUGCGGCUCAACCGUAAAAUUGCAAUUGAUACUGGCAGCCUUGAGUACAGUUGAGGUAGGCGGAAUUCGUGGUGUAGCGGUGAAAUGCUUAGAUAUCACGAAGAACUCCGAUUGCGAAGGCAGCCUGCUAAGCUGCCACUGACAUUGAUGCUCGAAAGUGUGGGGAUCAAACAGGAUUAGAUACCCGGGUAGUC